CCUCUAGCCCCUGUCUCUGCAGACAUUGGGGCCGCCUGUCAUGGGGGAGCUGAGUGGGGAGUUUCCUGGAGGAGUCUGUCAGAAACGGAGACUCCUGGGCCCGACCUCAGGGAUUCUGGUGUGGGGGCCGGGGUGGAGCCUGGGAAUCUACGAGUUAAGCAAUACAUAGCCCAGGAGACUCGGACACAGGUGGGCAAUGGCACAGACUCCGAGAAAUCUCGGGAGGUGCGAAGGAAGGAGGGCCGCAGGCAAUGGCCUGGUUGGAAUCCUCCAGAAAUCACCGCUGGGAAUCAGUUCCCUCACUAGCGAGGUGGGGAGGAUGAUACUUUGGCAGCUGGCAUAUGGUGUUUGGCCGUUACUGCAAUCCCUGUGACUCCAACCUCCUGAGACCAGCCUCCCAUGGGAUGCGCCCUGAGCCCACUCUCUUCCCGUUAGGUGGCAAAGGCCACGUUUUCUCCUGCGACCAACACUCUGGCCUUGGUUUCCCUGCAGGGGAAACUGGGCAGCUUCAAGGCCAUUUUCCGCCUUAAGUUUUAUGGCAGGAGCCAUUUUGCCGGAGGCUGGGUAAGGCUGGUGGCCACGGGACACAUGCGUAGCAUCACACAGCGCAGUGGGGCUCCCUAAACCUCCUGCUGGGUUUCCCCAGGAUAACACGCUAUGGGAAGAGACAGGACCCCAGACCCCUUCGAGCACGUCUGGGUGAUCUCUCCAGGGCUGGGGAGACUGGGGCAGAGAUGAGCGGUUUUUCAUGCCCACCUAUGCAGCCCCCAGCUCAGCUCUCUGGGUGCCUAGCAGCUCUCGCCCCACCUCAGCCGCCACUGAGAGCCUGGAGGAAAUGGGGCUGGACAUCAGCUGAAUUAAGAAUCAGAACCUGAUACUCACUCUGCUACUCUUCUGCUCAAGAACCUGCCGUGGCUGGACUGCACAUCACGUCCAAACUGCCUCAACUUCCGCUUAUGUCAGCCCCCACUUCCCCUGUUCCUCUGGCCCAUCCAGACACAACUGCUCACGGUGUUGGACCUUUCUGGCUGCUGCCUCUUGGAAUGACCUUUCUCUCUGCCUUUGUUAUUUUCAAGACAGCCGCCUCCACGCUGCCCUCCUGACAGCCGCAGCCCGUUUGCACUUUCCCUUCUCUUGCUGGGCAGCCUAGGACACCACGUGCUUGCCGUCCUCUAACUGAGUGUGGCAGGGUGGGCGUCAGAAGCAGAUAAACCAAAGCUCAUGGGCCUGCUCUGUUCCUUCCUGGCCGAGCAAACUACUUCACCCCCAGGGCCUCAGUUUCCCCCUACGUACGGGGGGAAUAGUCCUUCCACACAGGACCGAGUGUAUAAAGUGUUCUGCACAGCUGGGCUCACCCACUCCAGCACUGUCAUUUUACAGAUGGGGACCUGAGGCUCAGUGAGGGGACAUGUCUCCCCAGAUCCAAAUUUCUAGUGACAGGAGAAGGCUGCCACCCUGGGGUCAGGAUUUCCCUAGUAUCAUGUGGCAUCCUGUCCUUUGAAUGCAUUCACAAUAUUCUCCCUGGUAAGAGUCUUCCAGCCUUUGGUACCAUAGUGGAACUACAGGGGCCGUGGAAAGAGCCACCAGAAGCCCAGGGCCCAGCGCUGGGGCAGGUGGGUGGUCUGGGGCCAGGGGCCUUCCUCAGCCAGGCAUGAGGAAGGGGGGGGCUCCCAGCCUCCCAAAGAUGAGCCUGAUUGGAGAGUGGCGAGAGAUGAGGGCCUGUCCAACGGGGGUGGCAGAGAGGCCCCAGGAUGGUGGCAGGGUGGGGACCAGCUGGAAAUGAUGGGGAAAGUCCGGCUGAUGCUAUCUGAGCAAGAAGCAUCACCGGUUAGUAAACAGCCACUGCCCCGAGUCCCUUAAGUGUCCCCCACUGCCCACCCCCACUCUAGCCCCUGCUCUGAGGCCUUUGGCGCAGCACCAAGGCCAUCACCUACCCUGACUGGUCUGCCCAGUUGAUGGGGAUUUCAAACGUCACCCCAGGGAGAGGCCUGCUGAUCAUCAGUAGUGGCCAAUUUUGGGGGCUUCUGGAGCAGCAGGGCCGUGGGCGGGUGGCCUGGUUCCCUCGCACCCAGCCUGGCACUGCCCAGCUCUGCCAGUCACACCCUCCCCGAGCAGCUGGUCCCCAUUUCCACGACACCCUGGCCUGGCUCACAAGACAGCUUUCUCCCCCCAGCCCCGACUGUGGGCAGCGCAGCCGGAAACGCCUCCGACGCUGCUGGGCAGGUGGGGGCUGGCACUUGGGGAGGUCGAGCCAGGAAAGGAUUAGUAACCAGGCAGCGGCGGCUCAGAGCUGUGUGCCCGGGCGAGCGGGUGGCGUAAGUGGAAGGCGCUUGGCAGCAUGGCCUGCCACUCCCCGCCGAGCAGCAGGCGAGAGGUUGGGGUGGGGGGUGCUGUCCCGGCAGCAGAAAUGGGGGUGGGGAGGGGGGAUGUGAGCAGCACCUGUACCCCUGGGACAGUCACAGUGACGUCUGUCUGUUGCCCUGAAGUGGAGGCACAGAGGUCUGGGCAGCACCGUGCUCUGGGAAGCAGGCAGGUGCGGGCCCAGGGCCACUGAGGACCCCAGGCCCUGGAGGGUGGAGGACAGGCAGGCGUGCAGGCUGGAGGACACCAGCCUAGCGGCUUAGAGCAGGAAGCCAUCUGACAGGAAGCGCUGACUGCCAGCCUGGUGGGGGGCCGGAGCAUGGGGGGGCGGGCUGGGGAGACAGAGCUAAUCUAAAGAGCAUCAGGGCGGCUCCUGCCAGAAGGUGACCUUGUGUGCCGGGACAGCUGCCACCCUCGCUGGGCACCUUGGGGCACACAGUGAUGGCCAGUGGGCCACUGCCGGCCAGUUAGUGGGAAGCCUGCCAAUGCUUUCCCUGUGGCUCCUGCUGUCCCCCGGGGGGGGGGCGGCCCCUCUCUAAUCCCUUCCUUCCCUCUGCCUCUCAGAGCAGGUGAGCGACAGAUGACAGGCUGGUCCCUGCAGGACGCUCGCCCGGACCGUGGUGCCGCUAGCUGGCUGCCUGCAGCCUGAACCUUUCUCACUGGUCAGUGUCCUCAAAGAGGCUCCGUGGACAAAGGGAAGGAUCCCGAGGGGCGGCGCCCCGGGUCCCCGUCCUCAGCCAGACUUGAUAUCCACAGCACCCGCCUGCUCCUGCCGCACGGAGGGUUCUGAUUUCCCGUGCGAGCAGGAGCCGUCUGCACGGGGCAAUCAGAGCUGGCCUGGAAGAGGCCAUCAGACCUGUGCUCCCACUGGAGACCGCUGGGCACUGCACCCCGGGUCCUCACACCCGCCAUCACUGCUCACCUGGCUUGGGGACCCCCUUCCUCUGGCCCCGGUGUGCUGAGUGCACCCCUGGGACUCCCUGCUCCUGAGGUACCGGCAGUGGCUCACCCUGAGUCCCAGGGCAUCUGCCGCCGAGUUCUGAGCCACGUCUGACUUCCGAUUUGCUUCUCUCGUUGCCUGUGCUUUCGACAAGCCAGAGCCGGGAAGGCCACAUGGAGCUGUCGUCCUCCAUGUGCCCUGAGCCUUCUAGAAUCCUGAGGGAGGAAGGGUCACAUGGAAGAGUGUUACAGGUCACUCGGCACGUCCCAAGGGUGCCAGGGUCUCUCUUGGAACUUACAGAGAACAGGGUUGUUUUAUAACUAAAGCGUUUAUUUCCAUUCAAUUCACUAACCGAUUGUUCUGCUCAGGUGCCUGCGUUUGCUCACAGGAGGGGGUCUGAGGCCAGACCUCUUGGCGGAUGGUUUCCCCAUGGCCAAGACCUUCAGACCUGGCGAAGUUCUGGUGGAGGGAAGGAGGCAGGAGAGAAAUCACACGCUUUCUCCCCGGGGAAGGAAGGAGCAUGCCUGCCCACGUCUCCGGGGCACCUUCUGCAGGGCUGGGAUAUCACAGUGAAUGAUCCGGGUCCUGGCCUCCAGUGCGGCCUGGGUUAGGCUCCCAGAGGCAGAACUGGGGUUUGGCCAUCUGAGGGCACGCAGGAACCCCAAAAGGGCCUAUUUGCCUGGGAAGUACUAGAUAGAUCGGGGCAGGAGAGUGGGGAAGUGGGCGAGGACUUCCAGCCCUGCAGCCUCAGGGCCCACUUCCUCCACAAUCUGUCACUUUCACAAACAGUCCUGGAGUGGGAUGCACCUCCCCCUGCCCACCCAAAUCUCACUCAAGUCUCUGAAGGGCCCAGAUGGCCCCGUGGCAGUUGGCUUUGGUGAGGCCUGGUGGCAGGUGGGAGGAGGGAAGGGUGUCAAUGAAAACCAUAUAAAAAAUCCAGAAAUGUGCAUAUAAAAUCUCGCCCUUGGUGUAUUGCCUAAGUCAAUAAGCAGAAAGCACCUUCUUCCUGGAGAAGGAUCAAGUCCUCAAAAGGUAGGAAAUGUCAAAGUGUCACUUCAUUGUCAU
Microcebus murinus (gray mouse lemur) is the source of this 4366-nucleotide non-coding RNA. The record is from RefSeq and is a predicted model, not a curated record. NCBI's taxonomy places the organism in Eukaryota, Metazoa, Chordata, Mammalia, Primates, Cheirogaleidae.